Molecule: non-coding RNA, 30 nt
Filed under: Mus musculus (house mouse)
Lineage: Eukaryota; Metazoa; Chordata; Mammalia; Rodentia; Muridae
Source: RNAcentral
UCAUAAGGCCUUCCUAGUGAUACCAGCGUU